CACGCAAGUGUGAAACUCUAAAGGAAUUGACGGGGGCCCGCACAAUCGGUGGAGUAUGUGGUUUAAUUCGAUGCAACGCGAAGAACCUUACCAGGGUUUGACAUCCUGCGAAUUCCUUGGAAACUUGGAAGUGCCUUCGGGAGCGCAGUGACAGGUGGUGCAUGGCUGUCGUCAGCUCGUGUCGUGAGAUGUUGGGUUAAGUCCCGCAACGAGCGCAACCCACGUCUUUAGUUGCCAGCAUUAAGUUGGGCACUCUAGAGAGACCGCCGGUGAUAAACCGGAGGAAGGUGUGGAUGACGUCAAGUCAUCAUGCCCCUUACAUCCUGGGCUACACACGUACUACAAUGCUACGGACAAAGGGCAGCAAACUCGCGAGAGCUAGCAAAUCCCAUAAACCGUGGCUCAGUUCAGAUCGUAGGCUGCAACUCGCCUACGUGAAGGAGGAAUCGCUAGUAAUCGCAGGUCAGCAUACUGCGGUGAAUACGUUCCCGGGCCUUGUACACACCGCCCAUCACACCAUGGAAGUUGGCCACGCCCGAAGUCGUUACUCCAACCUUGUGGAGGAGGAUGCCGAAG
Molecule: ribosomal RNA, 576 nt
Filed under: uncultured cyanobacterium
Lineage: Bacteria; Bacillati; Cyanobacteriota
Description: bacterial SSU rRNA
Rfam family: Bacterial small subunit ribosomal RNA
Source: RNAcentral